Long non-coding RNA from Aplysia californica (California sea hare), 651 nucleotides. RefSeq lists it as uncharacterized. The record is from RefSeq and is a predicted model, not a curated record. The transcript is spliced from 4 exons. NCBI's taxonomy places the organism in Eukaryota, Metazoa, Mollusca, Gastropoda, Aplysiida, Aplysiidae.
UGACAUUUCGUCGUCCUUCAAUAAUAUCAACAAUAGAAAGAGACGUCAAGCAUCGGCUUCAGUCAGCUCAAACAGUUGAAAAAUCUGUUUUAUGGAGAACUUUCUAUGAAAAAGCGUACCCGCUAAAGUUUUUAUCUUUGGAAUCAGUUGUCAUUGUCGAUCUUACUGACUAAAAAAGAUACUGGAGUGCUGGACUGGAGACAGUAAAAGAUGCAUUCAGACCUGUCACCUCAUCUUCAUACGACCAUGUGUAACGAUCUGAUUGCUGCUCUAAAUAAAUGUCAUGCAGACAAUCCUUUCAAAAAAUUUUUGGGAGCCUGCAAUGAAGCUGACAGGGCAAUGACAAAAUGUCUAAAACAAGAAAGAGAACAAAAGAGGCAAGCUAACAAGGAAAGGAAACCAUUUUCAAAGCAAAAGGAUGGCACUAGCUCUUCUUGACUUUGUUGUGUUUGUUAUGACUAGCUUUUUCAAGAUGUUCAGGGAAAGAAAUUUACAAUUUGUUUAUAAUUAUUUUACAACCUGUCAAUUUUUUGCUAUUGAUUGGACAAAAAAAUUUUAAUGUCUCAUUGAUUGAACAAUUGAGUUUAUUUCUCUGCAAAGUCUGUAUUAAUGGGUAGGAACACAGGUUACUGAACUGUCGAAAAAAAAAAA